GGAGUUGUAGCUCAGUGGUAGAGUGCUUCCCUAGAACGUAUGAGGCACUGGGUUUGAUUCUCAGCACUGCA
RNAcentral lists this transfer RNA (71 nucleotides) under Marmota monax (woodchuck). RNAcentral describes it as "tRNA.Ser". The stretch from base 6 to 66 matches the Rfam family "tRNA", at positions 6 to 65 of the family's 71-position model. Rfam says of the family: Transfer RNA (tRNA) molecules are approximately 80 nucleotides in length. Their secondary structure includes four short double-helical elements and three loops (D, anti-codon, and T loops). The record is from RNAcentral. Lineage: Eukaryota; Metazoa; Chordata; Mammalia; Rodentia; Sciuridae.